GACGAACGCUGGCGGCGUGCUUAACACAUGCAAGUCGAACGAGAGCGUAGAGAAAGCUUGCUUUUUCUACAAUCUAGUGGCAAACGGGUGAGUAACGCGUAAACAACCUGCCCUACGGAUGGGGACAACAGCUGGAAACGGCUGCUAAUACCGAAUACGUUCCGAAAGUCGCAUGACUAUCGGAAGAAAGGAUGGCCUCUAUUUAUAAGCUAUCGCCGGAGGAGGGGUUUGCGUCUGAUUAGCUAGUUGGAGGGGUAACGGCCCACCAAGGCGACGAUCAGUAGCCGGUCUGGGAGGAUGAACGGCCACAUUGGAACUGAGACACGGUCCAGACUCCUACGGGAGGCAGCAGUGGGGAAUCUUCCGAAAUGGGCGAAAGCCUGACGGAGCAACGCCGCGUGAGUGAAGACGGCCUUCGGGUUGUAAAGCUCUGUUAUACGGGACGAAUAAUCUUGUGGUUAAUACCCAUGAGAAGUGACGGUACCGUAAGAGAAAGCCACGGCUAACUACGUG
RNAcentral lists this ribosomal RNA (513 nucleotides) under uncultured bacterium. RNAcentral's name for it is "partial 16S ribosomal RNA". It matches the Rfam family "Bacterial small subunit ribosomal RNA", at positions 28 to 507 of the family's 1533-position model. The record is from RNAcentral.